UCUAUUAUGGCAGAAUAGUGCAAAAGACUUAAAAUCUUUAUAUAGACCUUUAAAUUCUUUAUAGAA
This 66-nucleotide transfer RNA is filed under the name Aposthonia japonica. Its description in RNAcentral is "tRNA-Leu". It matches the Rfam family "tRNA". Rfam says of the family: Transfer RNA (tRNA) molecules are approximately 80 nucleotides in length. Their secondary structure includes four short double-helical elements and three loops (D, anti-codon, and T loops). Lineage: Eukaryota; Metazoa; Arthropoda; Insecta; Embioptera; Oligotomidae. The record is from RNAcentral.